This 71-nucleotide transfer RNA is filed under the name Heterocephalus glaber (naked mole-rat). It matches the Rfam family "tRNA". Rfam says of the family: Transfer RNA (tRNA) molecules are approximately 80 nucleotides in length. Their secondary structure includes four short double-helical elements and three loops (D, anti-codon, and T loops). Further hydrogen bonds mediate the characteristic L-shaped molecular structure. tRNAs have two regions of fundamental functional importance: the anti-codon, which is responsible for specific mRNA codon recognition, and the 3' end, to which the tRNAs corresponding amino acid is attached (by aminoacyl-tRNA synthetases). tRNAs cope with the degeneracy of the genetic code in two manners: having more than one tRNA (with a specific anti-codon) for a particular amino acid; and 'wobble' base-pairing, i.e. permitting non-standard base-pairing at the 3rd anti-codon position. Lineage: Eukaryota; Metazoa; Chordata; Mammalia; Rodentia; Bathyergidae. The record is from Rfam by way of RNAcentral.
GGGGGUGUAGCUCAGGGUAAAGCACUUGCCUACCAUGCACAAUGUCCUGGGUUUGAUUCUUAGCACUGCCC